CAAGUAGCUGGGAUUACAGGCACCUGUCACCAUGCCCGGCUAAUUUUUUGUAUUUUUAGUUGAGACGGGGUUUCACCGUGUUAGCAAGGCUGGUCUCGAACUUCUGACCUUGUGAUCUGCCCGCCUCAGCCUCCCAAAGUGCUGGGAUUACAGGUGUGAGCCACCGCGCCCAGCCUAGGACAAGUGAAUUUUACUGAUAACUUUAUGACAGUGAAUUCAAUAAUUUAGAUAACAUGGAUAAAUUCCUUACAAAGAUAACUUGCAAAACUGAUAAAAGAUGGAAAAAAAAAAAAAACUGAAUGGCUCUGUACCUACGAAAGAAUUGGAUUUUCAAGUAAAAGCCUUCUUACGAAGAAAGCUGUGGGCCAGGCGUAGUGGCUCAUGCCUGUAAUCCCAGGACUUUGGGAGGCCAAGGCGGGUGGAUCACCUGGGGUCAGGGCAGGCGGAUCACAUGAGGUCGGGAGUUCAAGACCAGCCUGACCAACAUGGAGAAACCCUGUCUCUACUAAAAAUACAAAAUUAGCCAGGUGUGGUGGCGCAUGACUGUAAUCCCAGCUACUCGGGAGGCUGAGGUAGGAGAAUUGCUUGAACCCAGGAGAUGGAGGUUGCGAUGAGCUGAGAUUGUGCCACUGCACUCCAGCCUGGGCAACAAGACUGAAACUCCAUCUCAAAAAAAUAAAUAAACAAAGAAAGCUCCUUGCUCAGUUUUCAGAAUCUAAGUGCUGAGUAUACAAGUAUUCACUAUAAAAUUAUUUCGGAUUGCUGGCAAGAUGGCUGAAUAGGAACAGCUCCGGUCUGCAGCUCCCAGUAAGAUUGAUGCAGAAGGCAGGUGAUUUCUGCAUUUCUAACUGAGGUACCUGGUUCAUCUCAUUGGGACUAGUUGGACAGUGGGUGUAGCCACAGACAGCGAGCUAAAGCAUGGUGGGGCUCUCACCAGGGAAGCACAACGGGUCAAGGAAUUCUCUUCCCUACCCAAGGGAAGCCAUGAUGGACUAUGCCGUGAGGAACGGUACACUCCAGCCCAGAUACUGCAUUUUUCCCACAGUCUUCACAACCCACAGACCAGGAGAUUCCCUCCGGUGCCUAUGCUACCACGGCCCUGGGUUUCAAGCACAAAGCUGGGUGGCUGUUAGGGCAGACACUGAGUUAGGUGCAGGAGUUUUUCUUUUCCAUACCCUAGUGGUGCCUAGAAUGCCAGUGAGAGAGAACCGUUCACUCUUCCUGCAAAGGGGGCUGAAGCCAGGGAGCCAAGUGUUCUGGCUCGGCAGGUCCCACCCACACGGAGCCCAGCUAGCUAAGAUCCACUGGCUUGAAAUUCUCGCUGCCAGCACAGCAGUCUGAGGUUGACCUGGGAUGGUCAAGCUUGGUGAGGGGAGGGGCAUUGACCAUUGCUGAGGCUUGAGUAGGCGGUUUCCCCCUCACAGUGCAAACAAAGCCACUGGGAAGUUUGAACUGGGCCGAGCCCACUGCAGCUCGGCAAGGCCACUGUGGCCAGACUGCCUCUCUAGAUUCCUCCUCUCUGGACAGGGCAUCUCUGAAAAAAAGGCAGCAGGGGCUUAUAGAUAAACCCCCCAUCUCCCUGGGACAGAGCACCUGAGGGCUUCAGUAGACUUAAAUGUCCCUGCCGGACAGGACUCUGAAGAGAGCAGCAGAUCAGUGGAUCUCCCAGCACAGCAUUUGAGCUCUGCUAAAUGUCAGACUGGCUCCUCAAGUGGGUCCCUGACCCCCGUGUAUCCUGACUGGGAGACACCUCCCAGUAGGGGCCAACAGACACCUCAUACAAGAGAGCUCUGGCUGGCAUCUGUCAGUGCCCCUCUGGGAUGAAGCUUCCAGAGGAAGGAACAGGCAGCAAUCGUUGCUGUUCUGCAGCCUCUGCUGGUGAUACCCAGGCAAACAAGGUCGGGAGUGGACCUCAAGCAGACCUGCACCACAGGGGCCUGACAGAAGAGUAACAAACAGAAAGGAAUAGCAUCAACAUCAACAAAAAGGACGUCCACUCAGAGACCCCAUCCGAAGGUCACCAACAUCAAAGACCAAAGGUAGAUAAAUCCACAAAGAUGGGGAGAAACCAGCCCAAAAAGGCUGAAAAUUCCAAAAACAAGAACGCCUCUUCUCCUCCAAAGGAUCACAACUACUUGCCAGCAACAGACCAAAACUGGACGGAGAAUGAGGGUGACAAGUUGACAGAAGUAGGCUUCAGAAGGUGGGUAAUAACAAACUCCAAUGAGCUAAAGGAGCACUUUUUUUUUUUGGGACGGAGUUUUGCUCUUGUCGCCCAGGCUGGAGUGCAGUGGAGCGAUCUCGACUCACUGCAACCUCUGCCUCCCGGGUUCAAGCGAUUCUCCUGCAUAGCCUCCUGAGUAGCUGGGACUACAGGCGUGCACCACCACGCCCAGCUACUUUUUUGUAUUUUUAGUAGAGAUGGGGUUUCACUAUGUUGGCUAGGGUGGUCUUGAACUUUUGACCUUGUGUCCAUCUCGACCUCUCAAAGUGCUGGGAUUACAGGUGUGAGCCAGUGUACCCAGCCUAAAGGAGCAUCUUCUAACUCAAUGCAAGGAAGCUAAGAGCUUUGAAAAAAGGUUAGAUAAAUAGCUAAGUAGAAUAACCAGUUUAGAGAAGAAUAUAAAUGACCUGAUGGAGCUGAAAAACACGGUAUGAGAACUUCAUGAAGCAUACACAAGUAUUAACAGCUGAACUGAUCAAGCGGAAGAAAGGAUAUCAGAGAUUGAAGAUCAACUUAAUGAAAUAAAGUGAGAAGACAAGAUUAGAGAAAAAAGAAUUUUUGAAAAGGAACGAACACAGCCUCCAAGAAAUAUGGGACUAUGUGAAAAGACCACACCUAUGUUUGAUUGUUGUACCCGAAAGUGACAGGGAGAAGGGAACCAAGUUAGAAAACACUCUUCAGGAUAUUAUCCAGGAGAACUUCCCCAACCUAGCAAGACAGGCCAACAUUCAAAUUCAGGAAAUACAGAGACCACCACAAAGAUACUCCUGGAGAAGAGCAACCCUAAGACACAUAAUCGUCAGAUUCACCAAGGUUGAAAUGAAAGAAAAAAUGUUAAGGGCAGCCAGAGAGAAAGGUAAGGUUACCCACAAAGGGAAGCCCAUCAGACUAACAGCAGCUCUCUCUGCAGAAACCCUACAAGCCAGAAGAGAGUGGGGGCCAAUAUUCAACAUUUUUAAAGAAAAGAAUUUUCAACCCAAAAUUUCAUAUCCAGCCAAACUAAGCUUCAUAAGUGAAGGAGAAAUAAAAUCCUUUACAGACAAGCCAAUGCUGAGACAUUUUGUCACCACCAGGCCUGCCUUACAAGAGCUCCUGAAAGAAGCACUAAACAUGGAAAGGAACAACCAGUACCAGCCACUGCAAAAACAUACCAAAUUGUAAAGACCAUUGACACUGUGAAGAAACUGCAUCAACUAACCGGCAAAAUAACCAGCUAGCAUCAUAAUGACAGGAUCAAAUUCACACAUAACAAUAUUAACCUUAAAUGUAAAUGGGCUAAAUGCCCCAAUUAAAAGACACAGACUGGCAAACUGGAUAAAGAGUCAAGACCCAUUGGUGUGCUGUAUUCAGGAGAUCCAUCUCACAUGCAAAGACACACACAGGCUCAAAAUAAAGGGAUGGAGGAAGAUCUACCAAGCAAAUGGAAAACAAAAAAAAAAGCAGGGGUUGCAAUCCUAGUCUCUGAUAAAACAGACUUUAAACCAACAAUGAUCAAAAGAGACAAAGAAAGGCAUUACCUAAUGGUAAAGGGAUCAAUGAAACAAGAAGAACUAUCAUAAAUAUAUAUGCACCCAAUGCAGGAACACCCAGAUUCAUAAAGCAAGUUCUUAAAGACCUACAAAGAGACUUAAGACUCUCAGACAGUAAUAGUGGGAGACUUUAACAACGCACUGUCAAUAUCAGACAGAUCAACGAGACAGAAAAUUAGCAAGGAUACUCAGGACUAGAACUCAACUCUGGACCAAGUGGACCUAAUAGACAUCUACAGAACUCUCCACCCCAAAUCAAUAGAAUAUACAUUCUUCUCAGCACCUCAUCAUACUUAUUCUAAAAUUGACCACAUAACUGGAAUUAAAACACUCCUUAGCAAAUGCACAAGAAUGGGAAUCCUAACAGUCUCUCAGACCACAGUGCAAUAAAAUUAGAACUCAGUAUUAAGAAACUCACUCAAAACCACACAACUACAUGGAAACUGAACAACCUGCUCCUGAAUGACUAAUGGAUAAAUAACAAAAUUAAGGCAGAAAUAAAGAUGUUCUUUGAAACCAAUGGGACCAAAGACACAAUGUAUCAGAAUCCCUGGGACACAUUUAAAACAGUGUUUAGAGGGAAAUUUAUAGCACUAAAUGCCCACAAGCGGGAAAGAUCUAAAAUCGACACCCUAACAUCAAAAUUAAAAGAAGUAGAGAAGCAUGAGCAAACAAAUUCAAAAGCUAGCAGAAGACAAGAAAUAACUCUAAGAUCAGAGCAGAACUGAAGGAGAUAGAGACAUGAAAAACCCUUAAAAACAAACAAACAAACAAAAAAAUCAAUGAAUCCAGGAGCUGGUUUUCUUAAAAAAGAUCCAACAAAAUAGACCGCUAGCCUGACUAAUAAAGAAGAAAAGACAGAAGAAUCAAAUAGACACAAUAAAAAAUCAUAAAGGGGAUAUCACCACUGAUCCCACAGAAAUACAGACUACCAUCAGAGAAUAAUAUGAACACCUCUAUGCAAAUAAACUAGAAAAUCUAGAAGAAAUGUAUAAAUUCCUGGACACAUACACCCUCCCAAGUCUAAAGCAGGAAGAAAUCGAAUUCCUGAAAAGACCAAUAACGAGUUCUGAAAUUGAGGCAGUAAUUAAUAGUCUACCAACCAAAAGUCCAGGACCAGAUGGAUUCACAGCCAAAUCCUACCAGAGGUACAAAGAGGAGCUGGUACUGUUCCUUCUGAAACCAUUCCAAAGAAUAGAAAAAGAGGGAAUCCUCCCUAAUUCAUUUUAUGAGUCCAGCGUCAUCCUGAUACCAAAACCUCACAGAGACACAACAAAAGAAAAUUUCAGGCCAAUAUCCCUGAUGAACAUCAAUGCGAAAAUCCUCAAUAAAAUACUGGCAAACUGAAACCAGCAGCACAUCAAAAAGCUUAUCCACCACGGUCAAGUUGGCUUCAUACCUAGGAUGCAGGGCUGGUUCAACAUACACAAAUCAAUAAACUUAAUCCAUCACAUAAACAGAACCAAUGAGAAAAACCACAUGAUUAUCUCAAUAGAUGCAGAAAAGGCCUUUGACAAAAUUCAACACCCCUUCAUGCUAAAAACUCUCAAUAAACUAGGUACUGAUGGAACAUAUCUCAAAAUAAUAAGAGUUAUUUAUGACAAACCCACAGCCAAUAUCAUACUGAAUGGGCAGAAACUGGAAGCAUUCCCUUUGAAAACUGGCACAAGAGAAGGAUGCCCUCUCUCUCACUACUCCUAUUCAACAUAGUAUUGGAAGUUCUGGCCAGGGCAAUCAGGCAAGAGAAAGAAAUAUGGGGUAUUCAAAUAAGAAGAGAGGAAGUCAAAUUGUCUCUGUUUGCAGAUAACAUGCAAUUUUUAGAUUUAGAAAUAUCUACAUCUAAAAUAGAUUGAGAUUUUCUAAAUAAUAUUUAGAAAACCCCAUCAUCUCAGCCCCAAAUCUCCUUAAGCUGAUAAGCAACUUCAGCAAAGUCUCAGGAUACAAAAUCAAUGUGCAAAAAUCACAAGCAUUCCUAUAUACCAAUAACAGAGAACCAAAUCAUGAGUGAACUCCCAUUCACAAUUGCUACAAAGAGAAUACCUAGGAAUCCAACUUACAAGGGAUGUGAAGGACCUCUUCAAGGAGAACUACAAACCACUGCUCAAGGAAAUAAGAGAGGCCACAAAUAAAUGGAAAAUAUUCCAUGCUAAUGGAUAGGAAGAAUCAAUACUGUGAAAAUGGCCAUACUGCCCAAAGUAAUUUAUAGAUUCAAUGCUAUCCCCAUCAAGCUACCAUUGACUUUCUUCACAGAAUUGGAAAAAAAUACUUAAAAUUUCAUAUGGAACCAAAAAAGAGCCCAUAUAGCCAAGACAGUCCUAAGCAAAAAGUACAAAGCUGGAGGCAUCACACUACCUGACUUCAAACCAUAUUACAAGGCUACAGUAACCAAAACAGCAUGGUACUGGUACCAAAAGAGAUAUAUAGACCAAUGGAACAGAACAGAGGCCUUAGAUAUAACACCACCUAUCUACAACCAUCUGAUCUUUGACAAACCUGACCAAAACAAGCAAUGGGGAAAGGAUUCCCUAUUUAAUAAAUGGUGUUGGGAAACCUGGUUAGCCAUAUGCAGAAAACUGCAACUGGACCCCUUCCUUACACGUUAUACAAAAAUUAGUUCAAGAUGGAUUAAAGACUUAACCAUAAGACCUAAAACCAUAAAAGCCUUAGAAGAAAACCUAGGUGUUAGGAACAGUUUCUCUUCAAAGGAUUUCACCCCCCUUGUCCUUUGUUCUAUUUUUAAGUUAUCUUUCCUGCCUUUAACAGGCCCAGGCAUCCACCAAGCUUGUAGCUGACCCACACUGCCUUACUUUAAGUUGUUAGGUACAAACAAUAAACUUCCUGGUUCUUUGUCCUAUUCUAAAUGCUAAAUCUAGUCAAUUGGGAUCUGUUUAGAUUGUGCAGUCUGACCCCAAUUAACGGGGGAGGUGGGGGAGGCAGGGAAGACACAGAAACAGGAGCGGCAUUAGGAAUAAAAACCCCUGCUUUCCUUUGUUCGGUGUGCUCUUGUGAUUGUGACUGACGCAGGCAGCACCCUUCUGCAGAAGUAAAUUUACCUUGCCGAGAAGUCUUUUGAGUGUUCGUUUUCUUUGCAACUCCCAGCUCAUUUCUAACAAUUUGGGGGCCCUGCCUGGGAUCCCAUUCUUCUCCGGAGAAGGGUCUCCGGUCAUCUUCUGGGAGGGGAUGCAUCCCACUGACUUGGUGCAGUGGCCUCAAAGGCUGGAGACUGAGACCCACCCGUUGUGACAAAUAAACCUGGAAUCUCAGCAACGCGAGAAGACAAGGACUACAAAUACUGUGGCGACCAGGACCCAAGGUCUCUUAGCACAAACACUGCCUCUUGAGUUCCCAGUGCAUCUGUAUCAAUCUGGAGAUUACGUCCUCAUCAAAAGCUGGAAAGAAGAAAAACUCGAACCAACCUGGGAGACCUUAUCUAGUGCCCCUAACCACUGAGACAGCAGUCUGGACCGUUAAGAAAGGGUAGACCCAUCACACUCAGCUACCCAGGAACAUUUUAUUUUAUCAAUGUAACCUGAUCAUCGUUUCCUCAAACAAUUACAUUUGAUGCUUGUCUUGUUAUGCCCUGUGGGGACCUACAAACCCAAAGGCAACUAGCCUCUUCAGGCAAUAACAUACAGGACAUAGGAAUGGGCAAAGACUUCAUGACUAAAACACCAAAAGCAACAGCAACAAAAGCCAAAAUUGACAAAUGGGAUCUAAUUAAACUAAAGAGAUUCUGCGCAGCAAAGGAAACUAUCAUCAGAGUGAACAGGCAACCUACAGAAUGGGAGAAAAUUUUUGCAAUCUAUCCAUUUGACAAAGGGCUAAUGUCCAGAAUCUAUAAAGAACUUAAAUUUACAAGAAAAAAACAACCCCAUCAAAAAGCGGGCGAAGGAUAUGAACAGACACUUCUCCAAAGAAGACAUUUAUGCAGCCAACAAACAUGAAAAAUAGCUGAUCAUCACUGGUCAUUAUAGAAAUGCAAAUCAAAACCACAGUAAGAUACUAACUCAUGCCAGUUAGAAUGGCGAUCAUUAAAAAGUCAGGAAACAACAGAUGCUGGAGAGGAUGUGCAGAAAUAGGAAUGCUUUUUAUACUGUUGGUGAAAGUGUAAAUUAGUUCAACCAUUGUGGAAGACAGUGUGGCGAUUCCUCAAGGAUCUAUAGAACCAGAACUACCACAUGACCCAGCAAUCCCAUUACUGGGUAUAUACCCAAAGGAUUAUACAUCAUUCUGCUAUAAAGACACAUGCACACGUACGUUUAUUGCAGCACUAUUUACAAUAGCAAAGACUUGGAAUCAACCCAAAUCCCCGUCAAUGAUAGACUGGAUAAAGACAAUGUGGCACUUAUACACCAUGGAAUACUAUGCAGCCAAAAAAAGGAUGAAUUCAUGUCCUUUGCAGCGACAUGGAUGAAGCUGAAAACCAUCAUUCUCAGCAAACUAACACGAGAACAGAAAACCAAACACUACAUGUUCUCACUCAUAAGUGGGAGUUGAACAAUGAGAACACAUGGACACACGGAGGGGAACACCACACACCAGGGCCUGUCAGGGGGUGGGGAGGCUAGGGGAGGGAUAGCAUUAGGAGAAAUACCUAAUGUAGAUGACAGGUUGAUGGGUCUGACAAACCACCAUGACACGUGUAUACCUAUGUAAUGCAACUGCACAUUUUGCUCAUGUACCCCAGAACUUAAACUAUAAUUAAAAACACAUAAUUUCAACUUUGCUGUAUAUAUUUGAUACUUUUCAUGAUAAAAUGGGGGUGGGGGAAGCCAAUCUUGGCAAUCACCAAUCCUCUUUCUACUCCCUUUACUACAGAAAUACAAGUGGCAUGUACUACCUAAGGGUGUCUUUUCCAGAGACAGAUGCAUGGGAACACUCUAAGUAAAAACUUACUUACCUUUACACCUUCUGUCCUAGCCUGGAAAUAUAUUCA
RNAcentral lists this long non-coding RNA (8689 nucleotides) under Homo sapiens (human). RNAcentral's name for it is "HSALNT0384493". The record is from RNAcentral. Lineage: Eukaryota; Metazoa; Chordata; Mammalia; Primates; Hominidae.